Molecule: non-coding RNA, 106 nt
Organism: Brassica rapa (field mustard)
Lineage: Eukaryota; Viridiplantae; Streptophyta; Magnoliopsida; Brassicales; Brassicaceae
Source: Rfam
GCAUUUACAUUUUCUUUCACACAUCCGAUAAAAUUGGAACAGAAAAGAUUAGCAUAGCCUCUCCACAAGGAUGAUACGCACAAAUCGAGAAAUGACCCAUUAGAUG